AUUUAAGGUGCGGGUUCAGGGAGCAGAUUAGACCAACGAAGGGUCUUAAAUUACUGAGAAUGAAGCAUCCACGAUGCCAAAGAUGGAAAACUGCUGUGUACGUCGUACGUGCUCAGCAUAUGGCAGCUACAGGAAUACAUCUUGGAGUGGAGCAGUCCAUCAUGAGUUGAUUGAAACUGCCAGUUCCUGCAGCUUUAUGUGCUACCAAGCAGAGAUCACGUUCCCACCUGUACUGCAGUUUUUGCUAGACAAGGUGUUUUGAUUAGAGCCACUGGAAUCAAGGUAUAUGUACCUUCUGAUAAAAGUCCCUUAAAGUGGUGUAGGAUAAAGAGCCUCCUCUCACAGAUGACCAGGAGGAAUCUUGGAGAGCUGCAGAUUCAGCACGGUGAAGUAUGCGGAGGUCAGACACAGAUGAGUCCCAGAUGAAGAGCCUUUACAGAAAAUUCAGUUGUGGCUGUUCAAACAUGUCACUCGUGUGGUUUUGAACUUGAUUUGAAAUUUCAGUUGCCUUUUGCAGUGUGCACAUUCCGUUUUAAAUCUCCUUGUUACACUGUAUCUCUGGAUGCUUUCAUCAUGCAUUCCUGCAAACUUAUUCCUCUUACUUGUUGCACUACCUAAUAAAACUAAUAUUUUAUGGUGGAUUCAGAUGUCAUUCUUACAAUGCUAAAGAAUUUUAUUUCAGUACAAGUGAAAUUGGAAACAAGUUAUUGGAAAAUUAUUCAUGAGCUGCUAUUGUGGUUACCCAGCACAGUUCCUUUUAAAGGAGAUUUUUGCAUGUUAAGUCCCUUUUUUUUAAAUGUGAUUCUAAAAUCCUGCAGCUUCUCAGUCUAUUACAUUUAAAAUCUCUUGCAGAGGGACCAUGUUUGUCAUUGCUCCGGGU
Long non-coding RNA from Megalops cyprinoides (Indo-Pacific tarpon), 880 nucleotides. RefSeq lists it as uncharacterized. The transcript has 10 exons. The record is from RefSeq and is a predicted model, not a curated record. Lineage: Eukaryota; Metazoa; Chordata; Actinopteri; Elopiformes; Megalopidae.